Molecule: ribosomal RNA, 505 nt
Filed under: uncultured bacterium
Lineage: Bacteria
Description: partial 16S ribosomal RNA
Rfam family: Bacterial small subunit ribosomal RNA
Source: RNAcentral
GACGAACGCUGGCGGCGUGCCUAAUACAUGCAAGUAGAACGCACAGUUUAUACCGUAGCUUGCUACACCAUAGACUGUGAGUUGCGAACGGGUGAGUAACGCGUAGGUAACCUGCCUGGUAGCGGGGGAUAACUAUUGGAAACGAUAGCUAAUACCGCAUAAUAUUAAUUAUUGCAUGAUAAUUAAUUGAAAGGUGCAAUUGCACCACUACCAGAUGGACCUGCGUUGUAUUAGCUAGUAGGCGAGGUAACGGCUCACCUAGGCGACGAUACAUAGCCGACCUGAGAGGGUGGUCGGCCACACUGGGACUGAGACACGGCCCAGACUCCUACGGGAGGCAGCAGUAGGGAAUCUUCGGCAAUGGGCGAAAGUCUGACCGAGCAACGCCGCGUGAGUGAAGAAGGUUUUCGGAUCGUAAAGCUCUGUUGUAAGGGAAGAACGGGUGUGAGAGUGGAAAGUUCACACUGUGACGGUAUCUUACCAGAAAGGAACGGCUAACUACGUG